UUACCGUGAAAAAAUUAGAGUGUUCAAAGCAGGCAGAUCCAAUUUUCUGCCACCGAAUACAUUAGCAUGGGAUAAUGGAAUAGGACCCUGUCCUCCUAUUUUCAGUUGGUUUUGGCAGCGCGAGGACUAGGGUAAUGAUUAAUAGGGAUAGUUGGGGGCAUUAAUAUUUAAUUGUCAGAGGUGAAAUUCUUGGAUUUAUGAAAGAUUAACUUCUGCGAAAGCAUCUGCCAAGGAUGUUUUCAUUAAUCAAGAACGAAAGUUAGGGGAUCGAAGACGAUCAGAUACCGUCGUAGUCUUAACCAUAAACGAUGCCGACCAGCGAUUAGGAGACGUUGAAUACAAAACACCACCAUCGGCGCGGUCGUCCUUGGCGUCGGUCUUUCGGGGCCGGCGCGGGGGCGGCUUAGCCCGGUGGCACCGGUGAAUGACUCCCUA
RNAcentral lists this ribosomal RNA (435 nucleotides) under Acanthamoeba genotype T4. RNAcentral describes it as "SSU rRNA". The stretch from base 1 to 390 matches the Rfam family "Eukaryotic small subunit ribosomal RNA", at positions 752 to 1116 of the family's 1831-position model. The record is from RNAcentral. Lineage: Eukaryota; Discosea; Longamoebia; Acanthamoebidae.